RNAcentral lists this non-coding RNA (92 nucleotides) under Pseudomonas asplenii. Lineage: Bacteria; Pseudomonadati; Pseudomonadota; Gammaproteobacteria; Pseudomonadales; Pseudomonadaceae. The record is from RNAcentral.
UGUCAUGGCGGCUGUGCGUGGGAGAUCUUCGGGAUCUGCCGGGUUUCCUAUCUUGCCCCGGUCUUGCACACCUGCGUACAGCUGCCACCCUA